RNAcentral lists this ribosomal RNA (278 nucleotides) under uncultured Glomus. RNAcentral's name for it is "partial 18S ribosomal RNA". It matches the Rfam family "Eukaryotic small subunit ribosomal RNA", at positions 548 to 833 of the family's 1831-position model. The record is from RNAcentral. Lineage: Eukaryota; Fungi; Glomeromycota; Glomeromycetes; Glomerales; Glomeraceae.
UUGGAGGGCAAGUCUGGUGCCAGCAGCCGCGGUAAUUCCAGCUCCAAUAGCGUAUAUUAAAGUUGUUGCAGUUAAAAAGCUCGUAGUUGAAUUUCGGGACCAAUUUGUUGGUCGUGCCUCGGUACGUACUGGUAUUAUUGGUUUCUCCCUUCUGAAGAACCUCGAUGCCAUUAAUUUGGCGUCGUGGGGAAUCAGGACUGUUACUUUGAAAAAUUAGAGUGUUUAAAGCAGGCAUACGCUUGAAUACAUUAGCAUGGAAUAAGUAGAAAGUAGGUACG